Molecule: ribosomal RNA, 454 nt
Filed under: Scyllarides nodifer (ridged slipper lobster)
Lineage: Eukaryota; Metazoa; Arthropoda; Malacostraca; Decapoda; Scyllaridae
Description: partial 16S ribosomal RNA
Rfam family: Bacterial large subunit ribosomal RNA
Source: RNAcentral
GGCCGCGGUAUAAUGACCGUGCGAAGGUAGCAUAAUAAUUUGUCUUUUAAUUGGAGGCUGGUAUGAAGGGUUGAACAAAAGGCUAACUGUCUCUAAGAUAAAUCUUGAAAUUAACAUUUAAGUGAAAAGGCUUAAAUGAGCUAGAGGGACGAUAAGACCCUAUAAAUCUUUAUAUUUUGCCUUAUAAGGUUAAAAAUUAGGUUCUUAUUUAAUCUUAUAAGGUCAAAUAUUUUGUUGGGGAGACAGAGGUAUAAAAAAAGUAACUGCCUUAAAGUUUAAGUUAAAAAUGUUUAAGUUGUUAAGUGAUCCUUUAAUAAGGAAAUUAGAAUAAGUUACUUUAGGGAUAACAGCGUAAUUCCUUUUGAGAGUUCAUAUCGAAAAAGGAGAUUGCGACCUCGAUGUUGAAUUAAAGAUCCUUUACGGUGCAGAAGUUGUAAAAGGAAGUCUGUUCGAC